UACAGAGGGGGCAAGCGUUGUUCGGAAUUACUGGGCGUAAAGGGCGCGUAGGCGGCCUUCUAAGUCGAACGUGAAAUCCCCGGGCUCAACCCGGGAACUGCGUCCGAUACUGGAAGGCUUGAAUCCGGGAGAGGGAUGCGGAAUUCCGAGGUGUAGCGGUGAAAUGCGUAGAUAUCUGGAGGAACACCGGUGGCGAAGGCGGCGAUCCUGGACCGACACUGACGCUGAGGAGCGAAAGCCAGGGGAGCAAACGGGAUUAGAUGACC
Molecule: ribosomal RNA, 266 nt
Filed under: uncultured bacterium
Lineage: Bacteria
Description: partial 16S ribosomal RNA
Rfam family: Bacterial small subunit ribosomal RNA
Source: RNAcentral